This 496-nucleotide ribosomal RNA is filed under the name uncultured bacterium. RNAcentral's name for it is "partial 16S ribosomal RNA". It matches the Rfam family "Bacterial small subunit ribosomal RNA", at positions 28 to 506 of the family's 1533-position model. The record is from RNAcentral.
GAUGAACGCUGGCGGCGUGCCUAAUACAUGCAAGUCGAGCGAACGGACGAGAAGCUUGCUUCUCUGAUGUUAGCGGCGGACGGGUGAGUAACACGUGGAUAACCUACCUAUAAGACUGGGAUAACUUCGGGAAACCGUAGCUAAUACCGGAUAAUAUUUUGAACCGCAUGGUUCAAAAGUGAAAGACGGUCUUGCUGUCACUUAUAGAUGGAUCCGCGCUGCAUUAGCUAGUUGGUAAGGUAACGGCUUACCAAGGCAACGAUGCAUAGCCGACCUGAGAGGGGGAUCGGCCACACGGGAAGUGAGAAACGGCCCAAACCCCUACGGGAGGCAGCAGGAGGGAAUCUUCCGAAAUGGGCGAAAGCCUGACGGAGCAACGCCGGGGGAGUGAAGAAGGUCUUCGGAUCGUAAAACCCUGUUAUUAGGGAAAAAAAUAUGUGUAAGUAACUGUGCACAUCUUGACGGUACCAAAUCAAAAAGCCCCGGCUAACUACGU